CAAGGACUCUAAGUAUAAUGUAACACAUAAAUGAACAAGGGUAAAAAAUGUGUAGUCACAGAAAAGAAUUAGUAAUGGGAGGGAAUGAAAACACGCUACGCAGAACUUCUCGACAUAUUUGUUACGUCACAAAUCAAGUUCCGAGAAUUGUGGCAAAAAUCAAAAGCUUAGCGAUUUAAGGAUUCAACACGGAGAUGAAGUGGAAUGAUUCCUGAUAUAAGGACCACUUAACGACUUUUCUCAAGGAAUUCAUAAAAAGAAUACUGCGGAAUGAAAUUAACUAGAUUAAGCAUUUCAGCAGGAGUUAUCUGAUUCAAAGCUGACUCCAACUUGGAGGAGGAGGGAUACCUGGCAUAACAGUCCCUUUUUGAUAGACGAGAGAACAAGCAAAGGACAUGGAGAAGGCUGUGCUGUCCUCAUGCCAAGAGCACUCACCAGAAACUGACUUUGCUGGCACUUUGUGGACUUCUCAGCCAGAACGAUGAGAAAGAAAUUUCUAUUGUUUAAGUUAUCUAAUCUGAUAUUUUGUUAUGGAAACCAGAACAGACAAAUACACACUGAAAUUAUAUCUAUCUUCAAAAUAUGAUUGGUUGGUAUUAUGACAAAGUAGUAUUCACUUUAGUUCUAACUCUUCUAAAAUUUUAAGAUUUGAAAAAAUGAUAAUUAUUCAAUGUAGACUUCUGAUAUGCCUUCUAGCUCUUCUCAAUUAUAAUUCUAAUGCUGUUCCAUUAUUCUACUAAUUUUAUUACCAAACAUAUAUAUUACUUGAACUCUAAUAUAAGAACAUCACCUUUCUAAUUCA
Gorilla gorilla gorilla (western lowland gorilla) is the source of this 802-nucleotide long non-coding RNA. RefSeq lists it as uncharacterized. The record is from RefSeq and is a predicted model, not a curated record. NCBI's taxonomy places the organism in Eukaryota, Metazoa, Chordata, Mammalia, Primates, Hominidae. The transcript has 3 exons.